This 239-nucleotide unclassified non-coding RNA is filed under the name uncultured Gemmatimonadota bacterium. Its description in RNAcentral is "uncultured Gemmatimonadetes bacterium partial contains 16S ribosomal RNA, 16S-23S ribosomal RNA intergenic spacer, and 23S ribosomal RNA". The stretch from base 1 to 186 matches the Rfam family "Bacterial small subunit ribosomal RNA", at positions 1348 to 1533 of the family's 1533-position model. Lineage: Bacteria; Pseudomonadati; Gemmatimonadota. The record is from RNAcentral.
UCCAGCAGCCGCGGUAAUACGUUCCCGGGCCUUGUACACACCGCCCGUCACGCCAUGGAAGCUCGGAGCGCCCGAAGUCGGUGUCGGAACCCUCACGGGGCCAAGCCGCCGAAGGCGAGCCGGGUGACUGGGGCGAAGUCGUAGGGGGGUAGCCGUAGGGGAACCUGCGGCUGGAUCACCUCCUUUCCAGAGAAACGAGUAGAGCUCCAGCAAUGGAACUCAAAAGUUCUCAAGGAUUU